CCUACGGGGGGCAGCAGUCGAGAAUCAUUCACAUUGGGGGAAACCCUGAUGGUGAGACGCCGCGUGGGGGAAUGAAGGUCUUCGGAUUGUAAACCCCUGUCAUGUGGGAGCAAAGUAAAAAGAUAGUACCACAAGAGGAAGAGACGGCUAACUCUGUGCCAGCAGCCGCGGUAAUACAGAGGUCUCAAGCGUUGUUCGGAAUCACUGGGCGUAACGCGUGCGUAGGCUGUUUCGUAAGUCGUGUGUGAAAGGCGCGGGCUCAACCCGCGGACGGCACAUGAUACUGCGAGACUAGAGUAAUGGAGGGGGAACCGGAAUUCUCGGUGUAGCAGUGAAAUGCGUAGAUAUCGAGAGGAACACUCGUGGCGAAGGCGGGUUCCUGGACAUUAACUGACGCUGAGGCACGAAGGCCAGGGGAGCGAAAGGGAUUAGAUACCCUUGUAGUC
RNAcentral lists this ribosomal RNA (446 nucleotides) under uncultured bacterium. RNAcentral describes it as "partial 16S ribosomal RNA". It matches the Rfam family "Bacterial small subunit ribosomal RNA", at positions 338 to 795 of the family's 1533-position model. The record is from RNAcentral.